RNAcentral lists this ribosomal RNA (253 nucleotides) under uncultured bacterium. RNAcentral describes it as "partial 16S ribosomal RNA". It matches the Rfam family "Bacterial small subunit ribosomal RNA", at positions 524 to 776 of the family's 1533-position model. The record is from RNAcentral.
UACGUAGGUGGCAAGCGUUGUCCGGAUUUACUGGGCGUAAAGAGCGCGCAGGCGGUCGACCAAGUCGCGUGUGAAAGCCCCCGGCUCAACUGGGGAGGGUCACGCGAUACUGAUCGACUCGAAGGCAGGAGAGGGUAGUGGAAUUCCCGGUGUAGUGGUGAAAUGUGUAGAGAUCGGGAGGAACACCGGUGGCGAAGGCGGGUCUCUGGGCAACUCCUGACGCUGAGGCGCGAAAGCGUGGGGAGCAAACGGG